RNAcentral lists this ribosomal RNA (465 nucleotides) under uncultured bacterium. RNAcentral's name for it is "partial 16S ribosomal RNA". It matches the Rfam family "Bacterial small subunit ribosomal RNA", at positions 338 to 795 of the family's 1533-position model. The record is from RNAcentral.
CCUACGGGUGGCAGCAGUGGGGAAUAUUGCGCAAUGGGCGAAAGCCUGACGCAGCGACGCCGCGUGAGGGAAGAAGGUCUUCGGUACGUAAACCUCUGUCAGCAGGGAAGAAAGGUCAGUGUGCUAAUCAGGAGUGACUUGACGGUAACUACAAAGGAAGCACCGGCUAACGCCGGGCCAGCAGCCGCGAUAAUACGGCGGGUGGGAGCGUUAAUCGGAAUGACUGGGCGUAAAGCGCGCGUAGGCGGUAUGUCAAGUCAAGGGUGAAAUCCCCGCGCUCAACGUGGGAACUGCCUUUGAAACUGGCAAACUGGAGUGGGGGAGAGGAUAGUGGAAUGACAGGUGUAGGAGUGAAAUGCGUAGAUAUCGGGAGGAACACCAGUGGCGAAGGCGACUAUCUGGCACAUAACUGACGCUGAGGAGCGAAAGCGUGGGUAGCAAACAGGAUUAGAUACCCUAGUAGUC